CACCACCACACCUCCACCUACAUCCACACCUCCACCUACAUCCACACCUCCACCUACCUCUCCUCCUGGUUCCUCUGUCAUACCUUUGCUGUCAUCUGUUGGAUCAGUCUGUGUUGUGGUUCUACUGGUAUUACUGGUUCUGCUGGUGAGACGAUGCGUUCACAGGAAACCUGAAGCAGAUCUAGAAGAAUCUGGUAAAGAUGACAUCAUCACUCAUGUCGUGUACAAUAUUAUAAAGCUAUUACAUCAUCCACAGCCAAUCAGACCAAGCAGAGAGCAUGAAUAAGCUGAAGACGUCAGUUGUGGACAAACAAGGAGGCCCAGGUACAGCUGCUCUUUGUCUUUGACUGUGGAAAGAGACAAGCAUCACCCUGAUUACAGCCAUAAGCUAAGCUAAACAAACCACACCAUGAAUCAGACUCACAUCUCAGGCAUAUGAAGGAUAGACUAGUUCAAGCUGCACGGAGCUGAGCAGGAGGACAGGAACAGACUUAGAACAUAUGAUGGAAACCUGUGAUUUGUAUCUGAGCUGGUUCCCAGUAAAGUCUGCUCGGUAAAUCUAAUCUCUGUCCGAAAGGAAACAGGAUGUUGUUUGAACUGUGCGUGUUUGUGUUCAGACUUUAAACCAUGCUGCUGGUCUCUAACUGGUCCCCACAGCACCUCAGACCAGCGGACAUCCACAGACGUUUUAUGCAAUUUUAUGCAAUUUUAACGUAUUGUAUGUAUUUUAUGACUAUUGCUUCUUUUAUUAACUUUGCUCUUUUGUAAUGUGACCUUGGGUUUUUGAAAGGUGCCCUUAAAAUAAAAUACAUUAUUAUUAUUAUUAUUAUUAUUACUGUUAUUAUUGUUAUGUCUUUUGUCUCUAUUUAAAUAUGUAUUUUACUGUAAAAUCAACAUUGUGAACAUAAGUAUGUUAAUUUGUUUUGGGUCAUCAAUAUUUUCACUUAUAUUUGUUUUAUCUUUGUGUUUCUUGUAUAAACAAAGUUCUCGAUUGUUUUCCUCGUGUGGUUCUGUGGGUUUCACCAAAGUGUCAGAUGGAACAUUUGAGCUGUUCUGUCUGAUUGUGGUUAACUGCUACACUCCUCUCUUUAGUGCAGAAAACAAACAGAAAACAUUAGACCACAACCGCAGACUUAAAGCAAUAGGAACAUUGUUCAGUGGUUUAAAAUAGCAGUGGAAAUAUCUGUAAAGUAUUUGUGUGGUGUGGAGUUUUUGGCUAUUUUUUCUUUUGACACUUUUGUUUGCUGCUUCAAACCCUGGAAAGUUUUCACUCAUUGUGUCUGACCUUGUUUUUGAAGUAGAAGCAAAUUAU
Long non-coding RNA from Oreochromis niloticus (Nile tilapia), 1312 nucleotides. RefSeq lists it as uncharacterized. NCBI's taxonomy places the organism in Eukaryota, Metazoa, Chordata, Actinopteri, Cichliformes, Cichlidae. The transcript has 3 exons. The record is from RefSeq and is a predicted model, not a curated record.